Molecule: non-coding RNA, 26 nt
Filed under: Rattus norvegicus (Norway rat)
Lineage: Eukaryota; Metazoa; Chordata; Mammalia; Rodentia; Muridae
Source: RNAcentral
GGCUUCUCUCAAUACUUCCUACUAAC